AUGCUAACAGAUUAUAGUGCUGGACUUCAGACCGCCAGCCUCCUCUUGCUUUGUGGGGAGGCUGAGGCUGCCCAGAGAAGCUGUGGAUGCCCCAUCCCUGGAGGUGCUCAAGGCCAGGCUGGAUGGGGCUUUGGGCAACCUGGGCUGGUGGGAGGUGUCCCUGCCCAUGGCAGGGGGUGGAACUGGCUGGUCUGUAAGGUCCCUUCCGACCCCAGCCACAGACACCUAACUUUGAGCAUCCACGGACCGUGCACAGACAGCGACCUGCAGCCUGGCUCCUCACUUGCAGCUCCCUGCGGGCCGGCGUCACGGGGCGCUCAGAGCCCCCUGACCGCAGCGAGCCCGUUCGUGCAGCUCAGCCCCAACGCCGGGGCCGCUCCCCUCCCUCCCCGAAACAAGCCGCCAGCUAACGGGCGCUCACGUUUCGCCCUCCGCCUCGGCCCUCGGCCCCCUGCCCGCUGCCGCCGAGCCCGCCUCGGCCCCGCUCCCCCGCCCCGAGCUCCCCGCCCCACCGCCAGGGCCCGCAGCGCGGCCGCUACUCACCCGGCCGCGGCGGGAGGGCCGGCCCGGGGGCGGCCGCAGGGGGAAGCCGAGCGCCGAGCCGCUCCGACACGGCGCGCAUGCGCGGGCGGGGGAGCAUGCGCGGCCGCUGCGGCAGCUUCAGGGUGGGCGGCGGGAGCAGGGCGGCCCGCAGGGCCCGCGGCAGUGGUGCUUUCCAGGGUCGACCAUUGGUUUUCAUCCGGGAGAGAACCAAAGGACAGUGCACGUUGCUGUGUGGUGACUUCAGAUCAUGGUGCUUCCAGAAAGCCAAUGCGUUGGGGUGAUGCCCCUUCAUACCACGUCAGAAGCAAUAAGCGUGAGCUUGAAUAAAUGAAGCACUAAUACAUUUCACGCUGAGAUGUAACUGUCAUACGAAGACAACUACAUUUUCUUUUUGACCACUGGGUACAUGAUUAAGCUGCAGUUGAAUAAAGAGUAACAAAUGUACUUUUUUUGUUUUGUU
This 1003-nucleotide long non-coding RNA is filed under the name Anser brachyrhynchus (Pink-footed goose). Its description in RNAcentral is "lncRNA (ENSABRG00000003147.1)". The record is from RNAcentral. Lineage: Eukaryota; Metazoa; Chordata; Aves; Anseriformes; Anatidae.